This 494-nucleotide unclassified non-coding RNA is filed under the name Hevea brasiliensis (rubber tree). The record is from RNAcentral. Lineage: Eukaryota; Viridiplantae; Streptophyta; Magnoliopsida; Malpighiales; Euphorbiaceae.
GAGGGAGAUCACAAAACUGUCUCCUACUACGCUGGUCCUGCGCUACUAAUUUUACUAACAUUGCUGCUGCUAUAUCCCCAGGAUAACAUAAACAGCCAAGAAAAUAACAUAAAAAAAAAAAUAACUUGCUAGAAAUGGAAGUUCAUGACCUAUAAAGCAUGGAGCUAAAUUUUCAAGGCCUGGUUAAUAUGCAGCCUUUUGGAGCAGAUGCUGUGAAGGAAGAAUUUGAAGGAAAAACUUAAAGAGACAGAGAGAGAGAGAGAAUUAUGAAACUUCUAAAUGAAAAAGAGUUGUAAAACAAAGAAAACAGUAAAAGGAAGUGGAUUUGAAGCUUUGGACAUCCUCAUAGGAAAAAGUAAUCAAGCUCCAAGGGAAGUCAUAGGUUGUUUGUGAAAAAUCUGCAACCUGAUAAGUGAUGGGCUUGAAGAUGAAAUUCUCCUAAGCAUAUAUGGCAGGGUUAAAGAGUCACAGUUUGGUUUCCUUAAAAAAUCUGC